AGUGAACGCUGGCGGUAGGCCUAACACAUGCAAGUCGAACGGCAGCACAGUAAGAGCUUGCUCUUACGGGUGGCGAGUGGCGGACGGGUGAGGAAUACAUCGGAAUCUACUUUUUCGUGGGGGAUAACGUAGGGAAACUUACGCUAAUACCGCAUACGACCUACGGGUGAAAGCAGGGGAUCUUCGGACCUUGCGCGAUUGAAUGAGCCGAUGUCGGAUUAGCUAGUUGGCGGGGUAAAGGCCCACCAAGGCGACGAUCCGUAGCUGGUCUGAGAGGAUGAUCAGCCACACUGGAACUGAGACACGGUCCAGACUCCUACGGGAGGCAGCAGUGGGGAAUAUUGGACAAUGGGCGCAAGCCUGAUCCAGCCAUACCGCGUGGGUGAAGAAGGCCUUCGGGUUGUAAAGCCCUUUUGUUGGGAAAGAAAAGCAGCAGGUUAAUACCCCGCUGUUCUGGCGGUACCCUAAGAAUAAGCACCGGCUAACUUCGUG
RNAcentral lists this ribosomal RNA (492 nucleotides) under uncultured bacterium. RNAcentral's name for it is "partial 16S ribosomal RNA". It matches the Rfam family "Bacterial small subunit ribosomal RNA", at positions 29 to 507 of the family's 1533-position model. The record is from RNAcentral.